RNAcentral lists this ribosomal RNA (521 nucleotides) under uncultured bacterium. Its description in RNAcentral is "bacterial SSU rRNA". It matches the Rfam family "Bacterial small subunit ribosomal RNA", at positions 8 to 518 of the family's 1533-position model. The record is from RNAcentral.
AGAGUUGAUUAUGGCUCAGGAUGAACGCUAGCGACAGGCUAACACAUGCAAGUCGAGGGGUAACAGGGUAGCAAUACCGCUGACGACCGGCGCACGGGUGAGUAACGCGUAUGCAACCUGCCUAUAACUGGGGAAUAGCUCCCUGAAAGGGGAAUUAACACCGCAUAACACUAUUGAUUCGCAUGGAUUAGUAGUUAAAUGUAGCGAUACAGGUUAUAGGUGGGCAUGCGUGACAUUAGCUAGUUGGUGAGGUAACGGCUCACCAAGGCUACGAUGUCUAGGGGUUCUGAGAGGAAGGUCCCCCACACUGGUACUGAGACACGGACCAGACUCCUACGGGAGGCAGCAGUGAGGAAUAUUGGUCAAUGGGCGCAAGCCUGAACCAGCCCAUGUCGCGUGCAGGAAGACUGCCCUAUGGGUUGUAAACUGUCCUUUUCCCCGGGAAGAAUAACGCCCCUCGUGGAGGGGUGAUGCCGGGUACCGGGGGAAUAAGGAUCGGCUAACUCCGUGCCAGCCGCCGC